GAAGCACCAAACGAGGCAAUGAUGCCAAGGACAAUGUGUUAGGGCUCUCCAGAGAAACAAAACCAACAGGAGAGAGAGAGACAGAAAUAGAGAGAGAAAGGGAGAGAUUUAUUAUGAAGAACUAGGUCAUGUCAUUACAGGGGCUGGGAAGUUCCACAGUCCACCAUCGGCCAGCUAGAGACCCAGGAUUACCUGUUGUGUAGCUCCAGUCUGAGCUAGAGGCCUGAGAACCGGCAGAAUUGAUGGUGUAAGUCCCAGUCCAAGUACAGGAGAAGACCGAUGUCCUGGCUUGACAGCAGUCAGGCAGAGAGAACAAUGCUCCCUUACCCCACCUUUUGUCCUAUUCAGGCCUCAGUGGCUUCGAGGAGGCCCACCCACUCUGGGGAGGGACAACUGCCUUGCUCAGUCUACAGAUUCACGUGUUAAUCUCAUCCAGAAAGACCCUCACAGACACACCUAGAAUAACGUUUGACCUAACAUCUGGGCACCUAAUGGCUCAGUCAAGUUGACACUUAAAAUUAACCAUCACAGACAAUAAAAGAGCCUUUUUAAACAUCAAGAAGAGGAGAGGGACAGACUCAUGCUUGGUGGCACGGUGACGACCAGUAUGCGAUAGGAAGGGAGACAGAUCUGGGGCAGGCAGAGAGGGCUGAAGCUGGAGUCUCCCCUGGGUUCCCAACUACUGACAGGACCAUGCGGAAGCCAGAGAUGUGACAGAAGGCAGGAGAAAAGGAGGCUGUAUUCUGUAGAAGCUGCGCUGGAAACGUCUUCCAGAACAGGACCC
RNAcentral lists this long non-coding RNA (784 nucleotides) under Homo sapiens (human). RNAcentral's name for it is "HSALNT0346876". Lineage: Eukaryota; Metazoa; Chordata; Mammalia; Primates; Hominidae. The record is from RNAcentral.